GCAAAUUCUUGUAUGACCCUAGAUUGGUAUCAGCCUUAUCGAUUAACAAGACUUGAAACCUCUAGAACUACUUUCGUCUUAAAGUAUAGUAAUGUUUGUGGUCAUUAAAACCAUAGCACACCAUAAAAUUCAUAAAGUAACCCCCAUAAAAGGAGCUAAAAACCGAAAUGAAAACAUCAAAGACUGAUGUUAUUCUGACACAAGAGAAAUAUCAACAG
RNAcentral lists this long non-coding RNA (218 nucleotides) under Mytilus galloprovincialis (Mediterranean mussel). The record is from RNAcentral. Lineage: Eukaryota; Metazoa; Mollusca; Bivalvia; Mytilida; Mytilidae.